Molecule: ribosomal RNA, 497 nt
Filed under: uncultured bacterium
Lineage: Bacteria
Description: partial 16S ribosomal RNA
Rfam family: Bacterial small subunit ribosomal RNA
Source: RNAcentral
GAUGAACGCUGGCGGCGUGCCUAAUACAUGCAAGUCGAGCGAACAGAUAAGGAGCUUGCUCCUUUGACGUUAGCGGCGGACGGGUGAGUAACACGUGGGUAACCUACCUAUAAGACUGGAAUAACUCCGGGAAACCGGGGCUAAUGCCGGAUAACAUUUAGAACCGCAUGGUUCUAAAGUGAAAGAUGGUUUUGCUAUCACUUAUAGAUGGACCCGCGCCGUAUUAGCUAGUUGGUAAGGUAACGGCUUACCAAGGCAACGAUACGUGGCCGACCUGAGAGGGUGAUCGGCCACACUGGAACUGAGACACGGUCCAGACUCCUACGGGAGGCAGCAGUAGGGAAUCUUCCGCAAUGGGCGAAAGCCUGACGGAGCAACGCCGCGUGAGUGAUGAAGGUCUUCGGAUCGUAAAACUCUGUUAUUAGGGAAGAACAAAUGUGUAAGUAACUGUGCACGUCUUGACGGUACCUAAUCAGAAAGCCACGGCUAACUACGUG